RNAcentral lists this long non-coding RNA (3286 nucleotides) under Homo sapiens (human). Its description in RNAcentral is "HSALNT0026846". The record is from RNAcentral. Lineage: Eukaryota; Metazoa; Chordata; Mammalia; Primates; Hominidae.
AGUCCAGCAUGGUCCCAUUUUAACUUAAUUACACCUGCUUCCAAGUAAGAUCUCGUUCAUGGGUGAGAACUUGAAUAUAUGCUUUCAGAGGGUGCAACUCAGCCAACAAAAUGUUCUCCCAAGAUUGUUUAUUCAUAUGUAUCAUACUCUUGGAGUACAUCUUCAAGGAAACCAAAUGUCUGUUGAUAUUGCUAAAUACUUUCUUAACUCUCUCCUGGGUUUCUCACUGCCCAUUUUCCCAAAGUCAAAUAUAAUACAUAAAAUAUCUCCACUCUCCUGAGACAUGACACCUACUGGGAUUUUUCUGAAGAUAGUUUAGGUGAAGAGGGGGCAAAACAAAAGACACAUAGGAAUGGUUGAUUUACAGGGAUGAGAACAGGUUGAAAAGAGGUACCUUAAUGAAAGAUAAAAGGAUUUUGUAAGAGGAGAUGCGGGAUAAAUUUCACUGAUUUUUUUCUCCAGCCAGCUGUGUUUCUGAUGGUAACAUGAAUUGUCACUUUAUUUGCAUUUUACUGCAUUCUUUAUUUGCAGAAAAAACAUUUCAUACAUUAAUGUGUGUAUACACACACACACACACACACACACACACAUAUAUGUAUAUAUAAUGCCUUCAUUUGGAAAUUUUCUAAUGUCAGCUUUUAUUCAACAGAUUCUUAUAAAAUAUGAUUUGUUAUGCACCGUAUUAGGUAUUGGAGGAACAAAGGACACGUCACUGACAUGACAAGGGGUGCAUUUGAGGAAGGUUAAAUGGGGCAUUGUAAGGGGAAUGGAAUGGAAGAAGAGACAGACAGACUGGAUGAGGGGACUGGUUUAGAUACUUUUAUAGUAGCUCAGGUGAGAGGCAAUGAGAGUUUGAAUUACAGCAUAAACACAGGGCUGGGAGGCAGGAGCUAAGUCAAGAACUUGGACAAAAGUGGAUACAGAAUCUUGUGACACAUCAGUCAUCAGAUGUGGGUAAAUAAAUGUAAUUCAUAUGACCCUUGGAAUUUAUUUCACCCAUAGAGAUGUAGAUCAUCCUGACCCGAUAUUCCCAAUGGGAAAAACUAGUUAGUCCAGCACCCUGUCUGUAACACCUGUGGAUCAUCUGUCUUCCCUGUGGCUACCUCUUCUUAUGUCCUGUGUUAGCUUGUGAUGUUUAGGUUUCUUCUUUGCUGAGCUAGACAUCUUAAUUCAUCUCUUGAUUGAUGCCACUAUAAAUGCAUUCACAUUAAGAUUUUUGCAACUUUGUGGACGAGUUUUGGGUCACACUACAAGGUAGUCUUAUCAGAGCACACAUGGUUGAUCAUGAUUUUGUAGGAAUCCUCUGACAUCUCUCUCUUAACCACCCUUCUCAAGCUCUCAGCAUCUCGCAUUUGCAAAAUUCUCCUGGCAUGUGACCAUUUCUUGAUCAUUUAUAUACAGUUGGAUAAGAAAAGAAGAAUCACUAUGGGUGAUACGAAGUCAUUCUCAUGCUUUAUUUAGGUAUAGAUAUAGGCCUUGUUAUUGACCUCAUGGGUUAUACAGUCUACUUAAGAUACUUAUGUAUGUGCUUGCCUUUGAGUUUGAAGUUAUCAAAGCUGGUGCUUAAGAAAGAAAGAUGAAUGUGACAUGCAAAAGAGAGGACAAAUGGGAAUUUGAGGGAAAAAUCUUGGUCUCACAUCUGUCUGUCACCCCCUCCAAUCUCAGUGAUAGGGUGCAGAUAGGUGAGUGUCCCUCACCAAGGAGCUGCACAACCACCUGACUCAAGGCUCAGAGAAGCUGAAGGGGAAGGUCAGGUGGGAGCUGGGAGCAUUGGGCCUGGCCACUGCCCACAAUCCCCCAGGGGAAUCCACAGAGGAGCACCUGGAUGCACAACAACCCUCCAGGUGGCAACACAGCUGCUGCUUCUCUUCUGGCUUCCAAAUUACAUGCAGAGUUCCUUUGUAGAAUAAUUGAAAAUUCAGAGAAGUGGAUUCUGGGAAAGAAUUUCCAGCUUAGCUAAGUCAUCUGGGGCAGUGGGGCACAAUCCACAGAUCUACCAUCAUUAUGGAAAGAUGGUCCUGCUCUGUUGUGUUUUCAGGAAAAACGAAAGGGCUCCCAGGCCUGCUUGAUGCUUCCAGAUGCCUGGUGACAGGAAUCAAGAACCAGGGAAAGGCCUCAGGAUGCUGAGUUCAGAAAUUGUGAGGAUCGAGGGGUGAGAAAUCGAGAGCAGCCUUGAUGUGUUCUAAUGGCUAAUGCAGAGUCUUUGCUCACAUGUCUACAUACUGAGUACCAUGCUGAAUGCCAGCUUAUUGUAAUCUCAGUGCACCAGAGAUCUAUGAGAAUUUGUGACACAGGAAUCUCUGGACUGGGGAAGCUGAGCAAGUUUUCUUUGAAGAGUGAAGGUGAGUUUAUCUGGAAGAAGAGUCAGGAGAAGAAUGGGGUAGAAUAUUGAAGACAGAAGAAACCAAACACGUAAAAACCCUGGAGCAGGCAGAAUGAAUGGAGAUUAGAACCUACAGCAAAAAGUUCAAUAGAACUUCCCUCAGGUCAGAAAAGACGGGUUUCAGUCAAUAACUAAUGAAGGCAAUAUUCACUGUUAGUGUUUUCCCAUAACCCUUUAUCAAGAUUUCUCCUGGGUUGCUCAGAUAUUUUUUUCCCCUGGCUUCCUUCUCUUUCUUCUUUCUUUCUUUCUCCUUCCUUCUUUUCUUUCUUUCUUUCUUUCUUUCUUUCUUUCUUUCUUUCUUUCUUUCUUUCUUUCUUUCUUUCUUUCUUUCUUUCCUUCCUUCCUUCCUUCCUUCCUUCCUUCCUUCCUUCUGAAUGUUGAAUUUUAUCCAUUUUUUUACAUCUCUUGAGAUGAUCAUGAUUUUCCUCCUAGAUUAUCUUAAUACCAUCAACUUUAAUUGAUUUAACAUAUUAAAUCUUGCAUGUUGAAUACAAGUAACUUAGUAGUAAUAUAGUAUCAUUUUAUACAUUUCUGGAUUUGUUUCAUAUUAUUUAUUUAGGAUUUUUACAUCUAUAUUCAACAGUGCAAUUGACCUACAAUUUUUUCUUUCUUCCUGUGUCCUUGUUUCAGAACUAAGGCUAUGGUGGUUCCUAAGACAAGUUGAUGUGACCUCUCACUUCGUCUUUUCUCCAGAAGAGUUUAUUUUAACUUUUUUAUCACUUUUUUUUGUGUAGACACAUUUAUCUAUAUAUUCAUAAUGUUUGUGCUUCUUCAUGCCUAUCUGAAUCAUUACCUCUCCACUUGGAUUUUCUUUUCCCUAAGACACCUUUCGCACUUACUUUGUUUUAGGUUUGCUAGUGACAAAUUCUCUCAGAUGCAGUUUAAAUGAAAAUCUCUUCAUUC